This 44-nucleotide ribosomal RNA is filed under the name Rumex hastatus. Its description in RNAcentral is "partial 26S ribosomal RNA". The record is from RNAcentral. Lineage: Eukaryota; Viridiplantae; Streptophyta; Magnoliopsida; Caryophyllales; Polygonaceae.
GGGAACCCAAAUUAAGCGGGACUACCCGCUGAGUUUAAGCAUAU